This 332-nucleotide ribosomal RNA is filed under the name uncultured bacterium. Its description in RNAcentral is "bacterial SSU rRNA". It matches the Rfam family "Bacterial small subunit ribosomal RNA", at positions 568 to 898 of the family's 1533-position model. The record is from RNAcentral.
CGCGUAGGCGGUUCGCUAAGUCGAAUGUGAAACUCUGGGCUUAACCCAGAGCCUGCAUUCGAUACUGGCGGGCGUAGAGUUCUGGAGGGGAUAGCGGAAUUCCUGGUGUAGCGGUGAAAUGCGUAGAUAUCAGGAGGAACACCGGUGGCGAAGGCGGCUAUCUGGACAGAGUCUGACGCUGAGGCGCGAAAGCUAGGGGAGCAAACAGGAUUAGAUACCCUGGUAGUCCUAGCCCUAAACGAUGGAUACUUGCUGUAACUGGGAUUGAAUCCAGUCGUGGCGAAGCUAACGCAUUAAGUAUCCCGCCUGGGGAGUACGGUCGCAAGGCUGAA